UACGAAGGACCCGAGCGUUAUCCGGAUUUAUUGGGUUUAAAGGGUGCGUAGGCGGCCGCGCAAGUCAGUGGUGAAAUCUCCCAGCUUAACUGGGAAACUGCCAUUGAAACUAUGUGUCUUGAGUACAUUUGAGGCGGGCGGAAUGUGUCAUGUAGAGGUGAAAUUCUUAGAUAUGACACAGAACACCAAUUGCGAAGGCAGCUCGCUAAACUGUAACUGACGCUGAGGCACGAAAGCGUGGGGAUCAAACAGG
Molecule: ribosomal RNA, 253 nt
Filed under: uncultured bacterium
Lineage: Bacteria
Description: partial 16S ribosomal RNA
Rfam family: Bacterial small subunit ribosomal RNA
Source: RNAcentral